This 226-nucleotide ribosomal RNA is filed under the name uncultured bacterium. RNAcentral describes it as "partial 16S ribosomal RNA". It matches the Rfam family "Bacterial small subunit ribosomal RNA", at positions 95 to 334 of the family's 1533-position model. The record is from RNAcentral.
UAGGCGUACGGGUGAGUAACACGUGGAUCAUCUACCUCUUAGUGGGGAAUAAACUCUGGGAAACCGGAGCUAAUACCGCAUAAGCCUGGAAAGGGAAAGCAGCAAUGCGCUGAGAGAGGAGUCCGCGGCCGAUUAGCUAGUUGGCAGGGUAAAAGCCUACCAAGGCAUUGAUCGGUAGCCGGCCUGAGAGGGCACACGGCCACACUGGCACUGAAACACGGGCCAG